RNAcentral lists this ribosomal RNA (465 nucleotides) under uncultured bacterium. RNAcentral's name for it is "bacterial SSU rRNA". It matches the Rfam family "Bacterial small subunit ribosomal RNA", at positions 8 to 457 of the family's 1533-position model. The record is from RNAcentral.
AGAGUUUGAUUAUGGCUCAGGAUGAACGCUAGCGACAGGCUUAACACAUGCAAGUCGAGGGGCAGCGGGGCGGCAGGCUUGCCUGCCGUUGCCGGCGACCGGCGCACGGGUGAGUAACACGUAUGCAACCUGCCCGUGGCAGGGGGAUAAGCGGGGGAAACCCCGUCUAAUACCGCGUAACGCGGCCUAGGGACAUCCCAAGGCCGCCAAAGGGAGCAAUCCCGGCCACGGAUGGGCAUGCGGCGCAUUAGCUAGUCGGCGGGGUAACGGCCCACCGAGGCGACGAUGCGUAGGGGUUCUGAGAGGAAGGCCCCCCACACUGGUACUGAGACACGGACCAAACUCCUACGGGAGGCAGCAGUGAGGAAUAUUGGUCAAUGGGCGCGAGCCUGAACCAGCCAAGUCGCGUGAGGGAGGACGGCCCUACGGGUUGUAAACCUCUUUUGCCGGGGAGCAACGGGCGCC